Molecule: ribosomal RNA, 492 nt
Filed under: uncultured bacterium
Lineage: Bacteria
Description: partial 16S ribosomal RNA
Rfam family: Bacterial small subunit ribosomal RNA
Source: RNAcentral
AGUGAACGCUGGCGGUAGGCCUAACACAUGCAAGUCGAACGGCAGCACAGUAAGAGCUUGCUCUUACGGGUGGCGAGUGGCGGACGGGUGAGGAAUACAUCGGAAUCUACUUUUUCGUAGGGGAUAACGUAGGGAAACUUACGCUAAUACCGCAUACGACCUACGGGUGAAAGCAGGGGAUCUUCGGACCUUGCGCGAUUGAAUGAGCCGAUGUCGGAUUAGCUAGUUGGCGGGGUAAAGGCCCACCAAGGCGACGAUCCGUAGCUGGUCUGAGAGGAUGAUCAGCCACAUUGGAACUGAGACACGGUCCAGACUCCUACGGGAGGCAGCAGUGGGGAAUAUUGGACAAUGGGCGCAAGCCUGAUCCAGCCAUACCGCGUGGGUGAAGAAGGCCUUCGGGUUGUAAAGCCCUUUUGUUGGGAAAGAAAAGCAGCAGGUUAAUACCCCGCUGUUCUGACGGUACCCAAAGAAUAAGCACCGGCUAACUUCGUG